Molecule: ribosomal RNA, 256 nt
Filed under: uncultured bacterium
Lineage: Bacteria
Description: partial 16S ribosomal RNA
Rfam family: Bacterial small subunit ribosomal RNA
Source: RNAcentral
GGCGAGGCCGCGAGGCGGAGCAAAGCCCAAAAAAGGAGCCCCAGUUCGGACUGCAGCCUGNAACCCGGCUGCACGAAGCCGGAAUCGCUAGUAAUCGCGAAUCAGAAUGUCGCGGUGAAUACGUUCCCGGGUCUUGUACACACCGCCCGUCACACCAUGGGAGCCGGAAAUGCCCGAAGUCAGUGGCCCCAACCUCCAAAGGAGGGAGCUGCCGAAGGUGGAGCUGGUAACUGGGGUGAAGUCGUAACAAGGUAGC